Molecule: ribosomal RNA, 497 nt
Filed under: uncultured bacterium
Lineage: Bacteria
Description: partial 16S ribosomal RNA
Rfam family: Bacterial small subunit ribosomal RNA
Source: RNAcentral
GAUGAACGCUGGCGGCGUGCCUAAUACAUGCAAGUCGAGCGAACAGACGAGGAGCUUGCUCCUCUGACGUUAGCGGCGGACGGGUGAGUAACACGUGGAUAACCUACCUAUAAGACUGGGAUAACUUCGGGAAACCGGAGCUAAUACCGGAUAAUAUAUUGAACCGCAUGGUUCAAUAGUGAAAGACGGUUUUGCUGUCACUUAUAGAUGGAUCCGCGCCGCAUUAGCUAGUUGGUAAGGUAACGGCUUACCAAGGCAACGAUGCGUAGCCGACCUGAGAGGGUGAUCGGCCACACGGGAACUGAGACGCGGUCCAGACUCCUACGGGAGGCAGCAGUAGGGAAUCUUCCGCAAUGGGCGAGAGCUUGACGGAGCAACGCGGCGUGAGUGAUGAAGGUCUUCGGAUCGUAAAACUCUGUUAUUAGGGAAGAACAAAUGUGUAAGUAACUAUGCACGUCUUGACGGUACCUAAUCAGAAAGCCACGGCUAACUACGUG